UACAGAGGUCCCAAGCGUUGUUCGGAUUCAUUGGGCGUAAAGAGCUCGUAGGCGGUGUGUCGCGUCGGCCGUGAAAACCUGCAGCUUAACUGUGGGCUUGCGGUCGAUACGGGCAUCACUGGAGUUCGGCAGGGGAGACUGGAAUUCCUGGUGUAGCGGUGAAAUGCGCAGAUAUCAGGAGGAACACCGGUGGCGAAGGCGGGUCUCUGGGCCGAUACUGACGCUGAGGAGCGAAAGCGUGGGGAGCGAACAGG
Molecule: ribosomal RNA, 254 nt
Filed under: uncultured bacterium
Lineage: Bacteria
Description: partial 16S ribosomal RNA
Rfam family: Bacterial small subunit ribosomal RNA
Source: RNAcentral